UACGUAGGGUGCGAGCGUUGUCCGGAAUUAUUGGGCGUAAAGAGCUCGUAGGCGGUUUGUUGCGUCUAUCGUGAAAACCUGCAGCUUAACUGUGGGCUUGCGGUGGAUACGGGCAGACUUGAGUUCGGUAGGGGAGACUGGAAUUCCUGGUGUAGCGGUGAAAUGCGCAGAUAUCAGGAGGAACACCGGUGGCGAAAGCGCUCAUCUGGCCCGAUACUGACGCUGAAGCACGAAAGCUAGGGGAGCAAACGGG
Molecule: ribosomal RNA, 253 nt
Filed under: uncultured bacterium
Lineage: Bacteria
Description: partial 16S ribosomal RNA
Rfam family: Bacterial small subunit ribosomal RNA
Source: RNAcentral